AGAGUUUGAUCAUGGCUCAGAUUGAACGCUGGCGGCAGGCCUAACACAUGCAAGUCGAGCGCGAAAGCACUUCGGUGUGAGUAGAGCGGCGGACGGGUGAGUAACGCGUAGGAAUCUACCUAGUAGUGGGGGACAACUCGGGGAAACUCGAGCUAAUACCGCAUAAGCCCUACGGGGGAAAGCGGGGGACCUUCGGGCCUCGUGCUAUUAGAUGAGGCCUGCGUUGGAUUAGCUAGUUGGUGGGGUAAAGGCCUACCAAGGCGACGGAUCCAUAGCUGGUCUGAGAGGAUGAUCAGCCACACCGGGACUGAGACACGGCCCGGACUCCUNCNCCNAGNCAGCAGUGGGGAAUAUUGCGCAAUGGGCGAAAGCCUGACGCAGCCAUGCCGCGUGUGUGAAGAAGGCCUUCGGGUUGUAAAGCACUUUCAAUUGGGAGGAAAGGUUCACGGUUAAUAA
This 456-nucleotide ribosomal RNA is filed under the name uncultured bacterium. Its description in RNAcentral is "bacterial SSU rRNA". It matches the Rfam family "Bacterial small subunit ribosomal RNA", at positions 8 to 466 of the family's 1533-position model. The record is from RNAcentral.